CCCUUAGACGUUCUGGGCCGCACGCGCGCUACACUGACCAGUGCAACAAGCAUCCGUCCUUGGCCGACAGGCCCGGGCAAUCUUUGAACGCUGGUCGUGAUGGGGAUAGACUUUUGCAAUUUUUGGUCUUCAACGAGGAAUUCCUAGUAAACGCAAGUCAUCAACUUGCAUUGAUUACGUCCCUGCCCUUUGUACACACCGCCCGUCGCACCUACCGAUUGAAUGGUCCGGUGAAGCCUCCGGAUUGGCGCGCACCUCGGUGCCGCCGAGAAGUUGGCUAAACCUUACCAUUUAGAGGAAGGUGAAGUCGCAACA
RNAcentral lists this ribosomal RNA (315 nucleotides) under uncultured eukaryote. RNAcentral's name for it is "partial 18S ribosomal RNA". It matches the Rfam family "Eukaryotic small subunit ribosomal RNA", at positions 1470 to 1796 of the family's 1831-position model. The record is from RNAcentral.